Molecule: ribosomal RNA, 497 nt
Filed under: uncultured bacterium
Lineage: Bacteria
Description: partial 16S ribosomal RNA
Rfam family: Bacterial small subunit ribosomal RNA
Source: RNAcentral
GAUGAACGCUGGCGGCGUGCCUAAUACAUGCAAGUCGAGCGAACAGACGAGGAGCUUGCUCCUCUGACGUUAGCGGCGGACGGGUGAGUAACACGUGGAUAACCUACCUAUAAGACUGGGAUAACUUCGGGAAACCGGAGCUAAUACCGGAUAAUAUCUUGAACCGCAUGGUUCAAUAGUGAAAGACGGUUUUGCUGUCACUUAUAGAUGGAUCCGCGCCGCAUUGGCUAGUUGGUAAGGUAACGGCUUACCAAGGCAACGAGGCGUAGCCGAACUGAGAGGGUGAUCGGCCACACUGGAACUGAGACACGGUCCAGACGCCUACGGGAGGCAGCAGUAGGGAAUGUUCCGCAGUGGGCGAGAGCUUGACGGAGCAACGCGGCGUCUGUGACGACGGCCUUCGGAUCGUAAAACUCUGUUAUUAGGGAUGAACAGAUUUGUAAGUAACUAUGCACGUCUUGACGGUACCUAAUAAGAAAGCCACGGCUAACUACGUG